GCAAUUCGCAGGAUGAAGUGGUGGCUUCUCUGCUGGCUGGUGUUUUUUCUGUCACACCAACCUUCUGCAUGUCCUCGUUCAACACCAGUCUGUAAGAAGAAACCACGUUCACAAGGUCAGGGUUUCUGCAAGGACAAGUAUACGAAAAGUGCAUGUCCUGAGCCAAAAAAAGACUGUAAGACAGAACAUGAUAAAGAUAACGGUUGUAGCAGUAAACAGGAAAAUGGGCGUGGCAAAUGCUGUAUGGACCUUUCAGACAACAUUUUGAAAAACGGAAGCUGUAAUGACGCUGUCAAGUAAACACUUUCCUUCUAAAUAGCAACAAACUUUUAAUUUUUUGGAGAUUUAUAUUUGGAAAAACUCUUAAAUCAAACAUGUAUAUAGGAGCAAAAUCAAAAGGGUUGAGAUGUUAAUGUAUUUAAGAUGGUUUAUGGCAAGUGUGUCAAACUCAAUCACACAAGGGGCCAAAACCCAAAGCACACUUUAGUUCACAGGCC
Molecule: long non-coding RNA, 497 nt
Organism: Oreochromis aureus
Lineage: Eukaryota; Metazoa; Chordata; Actinopteri; Cichliformes; Cichlidae
Source: Ensembl